UUAAAUGAAAUAAUUAAUUUCGACUUAAUUCAAGAUUUAUUAAAUCCAUUUAAA
RNAcentral lists this transfer RNA (54 nucleotides) under Platygaster sp. ZJUH_2016029. RNAcentral's name for it is "tRNA-Arg". Lineage: Eukaryota; Metazoa; Arthropoda; Insecta; Hymenoptera; Platygastridae. The record is from RNAcentral.